This 253-nucleotide ribosomal RNA is filed under the name uncultured bacterium. RNAcentral's name for it is "partial 16S ribosomal RNA". It matches the Rfam family "Bacterial small subunit ribosomal RNA", at positions 524 to 776 of the family's 1533-position model. The record is from RNAcentral.
UACGUAGGGUGCGAGCGUUGUCCGGAAUUAUUGGGCGUAAAGAGCUCGUAGGUGGCCUGUCGCGUCGGCUGUGAAAACUCGGGGCUCAACUCCGAGCUUGCAGUCGAUACGGGCAGGCUAGAGUUCGGCAGGGGAGACUGGAAUUCCUGGUGUAGCGGUGAAAUGCGCAGAUAUCAGGAGGAACACCGGUGGUGUAAACGGCUUUCUGGACCGUAACUGACGCUGAUGCACGAAAGCGUGGGUAGCAAACAGG